This 74-nucleotide transfer RNA is filed under the name Nonomuraea glycinis. Its description in RNAcentral is "tRNA-Val". It matches the Rfam family "tRNA". From Rfam's summary of the family: Transfer RNA (tRNA) molecules are approximately 80 nucleotides in length. Their secondary structure includes four short double-helical elements and three loops (D, anti-codon, and T loops). Further hydrogen bonds mediate the characteristic L-shaped molecular structure. tRNAs have two regions of fundamental functional importance: the anti-codon, which is responsible for specific mRNA codon recognition, and the 3' end, to which the tRNAs corresponding amino acid is attached (by aminoacyl-tRNA synthetases). tRNAs cope with the degeneracy of the genetic code in two manners: having more than one tRNA (with a specific anti-codon) for a particular amino acid; and 'wobble' base-pairing, i.e. permitting non-standard base-pairing at the 3rd anti-codon position. The record is from RNAcentral. Lineage: Bacteria; Bacillati; Actinomycetota; Actinomycetes; Streptosporangiales; Streptosporangiaceae.
GGGCGGUUAGCUCAGGGGUAGAGCACUCGCCUUACAAGCGAGGGGUCACUGGUUCGAAACCAGUACCGCCCACC